This 276-nucleotide unclassified non-coding RNA is filed under the name uncultured Acaulium. RNAcentral describes it as "sequence contains ITS2". Lineage: Eukaryota; Fungi; Ascomycota; Sordariomycetes; Microascales; Microascaceae. The record is from RNAcentral.
AACGCACAUUGCGCCCGGUAGUAAUCUGCCGGGCAUGCCUGUCCGAGCGUCAUUUCUCCCCUCGAGCGCGGCUUCACGGCCGACGCCCGGUGUUGGGGCGCUACGGGAGGAGCCUCGCGCUCCCCCCGUAGGCCCCGAAAUGAAGUGGCGGUCCCGCCGCGGCGCCCCCUGCGUAGUAGUUUUACAACUCGCAUCGGGUCCCGGUGGAGGCCAGCCGUCAAACCCCCAACUCAACAGUUUGACCUCGGAUCAGGUAGGGUUACCCGCUGAACUUAA